AAGGCUGUAGCUCAGUGGUAGAGCACUUGCUUAGCAUGCAAGAGGCUCUGGGUUCUAUCCCUAGCACCACUA
RNAcentral lists this transfer RNA (72 nucleotides) under Fukomys damarensis (Damara mole-rat). It matches the Rfam family "tRNA". From Rfam's summary of the family: Transfer RNA (tRNA) molecules are approximately 80 nucleotides in length. The record is from Rfam by way of RNAcentral. Lineage: Eukaryota; Metazoa; Chordata; Mammalia; Rodentia; Bathyergidae.